This 356-nucleotide ribosomal RNA is filed under the name uncultured bacterium. RNAcentral's name for it is "partial 16S ribosomal RNA". It matches the Rfam family "Bacterial small subunit ribosomal RNA", at positions 338 to 691 of the family's 1533-position model. The record is from RNAcentral.
CCUACGGGUGGCUGCAGUGAGGAAUAUUGGUCAAUGGGCGAGAGCCUGAACCAGCCAAGUCGCGUGAAGGAUGACGGCCCUACGGGGUGUAAACUUCUGUUGUCAGGGAGCAAGUGAGUCCACGUGUGGGCUUAGCGAGAGGACCUGAAGAAAAAGCAGCGGCUAACUCCGUGCCAGCAGCCGCGGUAAUACGGAGGAUGCGAGCGUUAUCCGGAUUUAUUGGGUUUAAAGGGUGCGUAGGCGGAAUAUCAAGUCAGCGGUAACAAUUCGGGGCUCAACCCCGGCCCGCCGUUGAAACUGGCAGUCUCGAGUUGGCGAGCAGUAUGCGGAAUGCGCGGUGUAGCGGUGAACUGCAU